Molecule: ribosomal RNA, 253 nt
Filed under: uncultured bacterium
Lineage: Bacteria
Description: partial 16S ribosomal RNA
Rfam family: Bacterial small subunit ribosomal RNA
Source: RNAcentral
UACGUAGGAUGCAAGCGUUGUCCGGAAUUAUUGGGCGUAAAGAGCGCGCAGGCGGUCUAUCAAGUCAGAUGUGAAAUAUCCGGGCUUAACACGGAGGGGUCAUUUGAAACUGGUAGACUAGAGUACAGCAGAGGAUAGCGGAAUUCCCGGUGUAGUGGUGAAAUGCGUAGAUAUCGGGAGGAACACCGGUGGCGAAGGCGGCUUUCUGGACACUUACUGACGCUGAGACGCGAAAGCGUGGGGAGCAAACAGG